This 72-nucleotide transfer RNA is filed under the name Ipomoea nil (Japanese morning glory). It matches the Rfam family "tRNA". From Rfam's summary of the family: Transfer RNA (tRNA) molecules are approximately 80 nucleotides in length. The record is from Rfam by way of RNAcentral. Lineage: Eukaryota; Viridiplantae; Streptophyta; Magnoliopsida; Solanales; Convolvulaceae.
GUUCUCGUUGCCUAAUGGAUAAGGCGCUUGCCUCUGGAACGAGAGAUGUGGGUUUGAGUCCCACCGUGAAUG